CACUCCUGCGGGAGGCAGCAGUGGGGAAUUUUGGACAAUGGGCGAAAGCCUGAUCCAGCAAUGCCGCGUGAGUGAAGAAGGCCUUCGGGUUGUAAAGCUCUUUUGUCAGGGAAGAAACGGUGAAAGCUAAUAUCUUUUGCUAAUGACGGUACCUGAAGAAUAAGCACCGGCUAACUACGUGCCAGCAGCCGCGGUAAUACGUAGGGUGCAAGCGUUAAUCGGAAUUACUGGGCGUAAAGCGUGCGCAGGCGGUUUUGUAAGUCUGAUGUGAAAUCCCCGGGCUCAACCUGGGAAUUGCAUUGGAGACUGCAAGGCUAGAAUCUGGCAGAGGGGGGUAGAAUUCCACGUGUAGCAGUGAAAUGCGUAGAUAUGUGGAGGAACACCGAUGGCGAAGGCAGCCCCCUGGGUCAAGAUUGACGCUCAUGCACGAAAGCGUGGGGAGCAAACAGGAUUAGAAACCCGAGUAGUCC
Molecule: ribosomal RNA, 470 nt
Filed under: uncultured organism
Description: partial 16S ribosomal RNA
Rfam family: Bacterial small subunit ribosomal RNA
Source: RNAcentral